GNNGAUGCAANGGCGCUUUNNGAAAUCCCANGGNUCAACCGUGGAAUUGCUUGGCGAACCAUGCAUCUUGAGGUUGGUAGAGGUCACUGGAACGAUAGGUGGAGCGGUGAAAUGCGUAGAUAUCUAUCGGAACGCCAACGGUGAAGACAGGUGACUGGGCCAAAUCUGACGNUGAGGCACGAAAGCGUGGGGAGCAAACGGGAUUAGAUACCCCGGUAGUCCACGCUGUAAACGAUGCACACUUGGUCGGAGCGGUUUGACUCCGUUUCGGCCGUAGGAAAACUGAUGAGUGUGCCGCCUGGGGAGUACGGUCGCAAGAUUAAAACUCAAAGGAAUUGACGGGGGCUCACACAAGCGGUGGAGCAUGUGGCUUAAUUCGAAGCAACGCGAAGAACCUUACCUAGGCUUGACAUGCACGGAUAAACCCUAUGAAAGUAGGGGUACACCCGCAAGGGCGGAACGUGCACAGGUGCUGCAUGGCUGUCGUCAGCUCGUGCUGUGAAGUGUCGGGUUAAGUCCCUCAACGAGCGCAACCCCUGUCGCUACUUGCUAACGCGUAAUGGCGAGGACUGUAGCGAGACUGCCGGUGUCAAACCGGAGGAAGGUGGGGAUGACGUCAAGUCCUCAUGGCCUUUAUGUCUAGGGCUGCACACGUGCUACAAUGGUAUGUACAGAACGAUGCAAGACCGCAAGGUGGAGCAAAUCGCUAAAGCAUACCCCAGUUCAGAUUGCGGGCUGCAAUUCGCCCGCAUGAAGUUGGAAUCGCUAGUAAUCGCGGAUCAGCUACGCCGCGGUGAAUAUGUUCCUGAGCCUUGUACACACCGCCCGUCAAGUCAUGGGAGCCGGCAGUGCCCGAAGUCGCGCAAUUUCAUGCGUGCCCACGGCAAGGCUGGUGACUGGGACU
This 904-nucleotide ribosomal RNA is filed under the name uncultured bacterium. Its description in RNAcentral is "bacterial SSU rRNA". It matches the Rfam family "Bacterial small subunit ribosomal RNA", at positions 575 to 1482 of the family's 1533-position model. The record is from RNAcentral.